RNAcentral lists this ribosomal RNA (496 nucleotides) under uncultured bacterium. RNAcentral's name for it is "partial 16S ribosomal RNA". It matches the Rfam family "Bacterial small subunit ribosomal RNA", at positions 29 to 507 of the family's 1533-position model. The record is from RNAcentral.
AUGAACGCUGGCGGCGUGCCUAAUACAUGCAAGUCGAGCGCACAGACGAGGAGCUUGCUCCUCUGACGAUAGCGGCGGACGGGUGAGUAACACGUGGAUAACCUACCUAUAAGACUGGGAUAACUUCGGGAAACCGGAGCUAAUACCGGAUAAUAUAUUGAACCGCAUGGUUCAAUAGUGAAAGACGGUUUUGCUGUCACUUAUAGAUGGAUCCGCGCCGCAUUAGCUAGUUGGUAAGGUAACGGCUUACCAAGGCAACGAUGCGUAGCCGACCUGAGAGGGUGAUCGGCCACACUGGAACUGAGACACGGUCCAGACUCCUACGGGAGGCAGCAGUAGGGAAUCUUCCGCAAUGGGCGAAAGCCUGACGGAGCAACGCCGCGUGAGUGAUGAAGGUCUUCGGAUCGUAAAACUCUGUUAUUAGGGAAGAACAAAUGUGUAAGUAACUAUGCACGUCUUGACGGUACCUAAUCAGAAAGCCACGGCUAACUACGUG